This 1335-nucleotide ribosomal RNA is filed under the name Aedes galloisi. Its description in RNAcentral is "16S ribosomal RNA". The stretch from base 1079 to 1238 matches the Rfam family "Archaeal large subunit ribosomal RNA", at positions 2544 to 2703 of the family's 2987-position model. Lineage: Eukaryota; Metazoa; Arthropoda; Insecta; Diptera; Culicidae. The record is from RNAcentral.
UUAAAUUUUAUUUAUUAAUAUUAUUUAUUUAUAUAAUUUAUUUAAUAAAAAUAAUUUUAAUAAUUAUAGUUUUAGUAUUUUUUAAAGAAAUAAUAAUUUUAAUAAUAGUUUAUUUGUAUUGUAAAAGAAAAUUGAAAUAAUUUGAAAAAUUUUUAUAUAAAAAGAAAAUUUAAUUUAUUGUACCUUGUGUAUCAGGGUUUAUUAAUUAAUUAAUUAUUAUAAUAAUUUUUCUCGAAUUUUAAAGAUUUAAUUAUAUAUGAAAGUUACUGUAGAAUAAUUAUUUUUAAUAUAUAAUUAGAAAUGAGAUGUUAAUCGUUUUAAAAUAUAUCUAGUUUUUUAAGAAAUAAAUUUAAUUUAGAUUUAUGAAUUAAAAAUUUUAUUUAUUUAAUAUUUUUAUUUCAUGAAAUUAAUAUUUUAAGGGAUUAGCUUUAAAAUAAAUUUUUAAAUUUUUAAUAAAAUAAUUAAUAAAUGUAAGCUUAAAAAUAGUUAUCAUUAAUAAAUUUGUUAUAAUUUAUUUUAAAAUUUUUAUUAUUUAUUGUUAAAUUAAAUUAUUUAUUAAAAUAUAAAUUUUAAUAAUAAUAAUUUAUAAAUUAUGAUAAAAUUAGUAUAUUUAAUUUAUAUAAAUUAUUUAAAAUGAAAGGUUUAAAUAAGGAAUUCGGCAAAUUAUAUAUUCACCUGUUUAUCAAAAACAUGUCUUUUUGUAUUUAAUUUAAAGUCUAACCUGCCCACUGAUAAUUAUUAAAGGGCCGCAGUAUUUUGACUGUGCGAAGGUAGCAUAAUCAAUAGUCUUUUAAUUGAAGGCUUGUAUGAAUGGUUGAAUGAGAUAUAUACUGUCUUUUUUAAAUUUUUAUAGAAUUUUAUUUUUUAAUUAAAAAGUUAAAAUGUAAUUAAAAGACGAGAAGACCCUAUAGAUCUUUAUUUUUGUUGAUUAUAAAUUAAAAAGAAUAAUUAAAUUUAUAGUUUAAUAAAAAAUUUUACUGGGGUGGUAUUAAAAUUUAAAAAACUUUUAUUUUUUGUUUACAUUAAUUUAUGAAUAUUUGAUCCAAUUUUAUUGAUUAAAAAAUUAAGUUACCUUAGGGAUAACAGCGUAAUUUUUUUUUAGAGUUCUUAUCGACAAAAAAGAUUGCGACCUCGAUGUUGGAUUAAGAGUUAUUUUUAGGUGUAGAAGUUUAAAGUUUAGGUCUGUUCGACCUUUGAAUUCUUACAUGAUCUGAGUUCAAACCGGCGUAAGCCAGGUUGGUUUCUAUCUUUAAUUAAAUAUUAUAUUAUAGUACGAAAGGACCUAAUAUAAAAAAUAUAAAUUUUAAUUUUAUGAAUUAUAUUAAUAUUUAAUAA